GACGAACGCUGGCGGCGUGCUUAACACAUGCAAGUCGAGCGGUAAGGCCCUUCGGGGUACACGAGCGGCGAACGGGUGAGUAACACGUGGGUGACCUGCCUCUAGCUCUGGGAUAAGCCUGGGAAACUGGGUCUAAUACCGGAUAUGACUCCACGGCGCAUGUUGUGGGGUGGAAAGCCUUGUGUGGCUAGAGAUGGGCCCGCGGCCUAUCAGCUUGUUGGUGGGGUGAUGGCCUACCAAGGCGACGACGGGUAGCCGGCCUGAGAGGGCGACCGGCCACACUGGGACUGAGACACGGCCCAGACUCCUACGGGAGGCAGCAGUGGGGAAUCUUGCGCAAUGGGCGAAAAGCCUGACGCAGCGACGCCGCGUGAGGGAUGAC
This 382-nucleotide ribosomal RNA is filed under the name uncultured bacterium. Its description in RNAcentral is "bacterial SSU rRNA". It matches the Rfam family "Bacterial small subunit ribosomal RNA", at positions 28 to 412 of the family's 1533-position model. The record is from RNAcentral.